Molecule: unclassified non-coding RNA, 296 nt
Organism: Erinaceus europaeus (western European hedgehog)
Lineage: Eukaryota; Metazoa; Chordata; Mammalia; Eulipotyphla; Erinaceidae
Gene: 7SK
Rfam family: 7SK RNA
About the family: 7SK was discovered as an abundant small nuclear RNA in the mid-70s but a possible function has only recently been suggested. Two independent studies have found that 7SK RNA binds the CDK9/cyclin T complex (known as elongation factor P-TEFb). P-TEFb activates transcription by phosphorylating the C-terminal domain of RNA polymerase II.
Source: Ensembl
AGGUGUGAGGCAAUCUGGCUGUGACAUCUGUCACUCCAUUGAUCACCAGGGUUGACUCAGGUAACCUGGCUGCCUAGGUGGGUGUCCCCUGCCUUCCUUGUCCCUGGUAGUGCACCCUCUAGAAGCUGUCAGCUCCUUGGAAGAGAACCACCUUCCUGGAAUAGAGACAGAGGCAUGUUUGACUGAGGGUAUGGGAAUUGCUAUGCUUCCCCUGUCAGAACCUAAAACAAGCUCUCAAGAUCUUAACCCUUCUGCAAAUUUGACCAAUAUUACUUAACAUGUGUUCCCAAAACUUU